CCUACGGGAGGCAGCAGUAGGGAAUCUUCCACAAUGGGCGCAAGCCUGAUGGAGCAACACCGCGUGAGUGAAGAAGGGUUUCGGCUCGUAAAGCCCUUUUGUUGGAGAAGAAGGUGCGGGAGAGUAACUGUUCACCCAGUGACGGUAUCCAACCAGAAAGUCACGGCUAACUACGUGCCAGCAGCCGCGGUAAUACGGAGGGGGCAAGCGUUAUCCGGAUUUAUUGGGCGUAAAGCGAGCGCAGGCGGUUGCUUAGGUCUGAUGUGAAAGCCUUCGGCUUAACCGAAGAAGUGCAUCGGAAACCGGGCGACUUGAGUGCAGAAGAGGACAGUGGAACUCCAUGUGUAGCGGUGGAAUGCGUAGAUAUAUGGAAGAACACCAGUGGCGAAGGCGGCUGUCUGGUCUGCAACUGACGCUGAGGCUCGAAAGCAUGGGUAGCGAACAGGAUUAGAUACCCGAGUAGUC
RNAcentral lists this ribosomal RNA (465 nucleotides) under uncultured bacterium. RNAcentral's name for it is "partial 16S ribosomal RNA". It matches the Rfam family "Bacterial small subunit ribosomal RNA", at positions 338 to 795 of the family's 1533-position model. The record is from RNAcentral.